RNAcentral lists this non-coding RNA (148 nucleotides) under Pan troglodytes (chimpanzee). Lineage: Eukaryota; Metazoa; Chordata; Mammalia; Primates; Hominidae. The record is from Rfam by way of RNAcentral.
GCCGGGCGUGGUAGCGCGCGCCUGUAGUCCCAGCUACCAGGGAGGCUGAGGCAGGAGAAUCGCUUGAACCCAGGAGGUGGAAGUUGCAGUAACCCGAGAUCGUGACACUGCACUCCAGCCUGGGUGACAGAGCGAGACUCCGUCUCAA